This 266-nucleotide signal recognition particle RNA is filed under the name Chloroflexota bacterium. RNAcentral describes it as "Chloroflexi bacterium signal recognition particle sRNA large type". It matches the Rfam family "Bacterial large signal recognition particle RNA". Rfam says of the family: The signal recognition particle (SRP) is a universally conserved ribonucleoprotein involved in the co-translational targeting of proteins to membranes. Archaeal SRP consists of a 7S RNA and homologues of the eukaryotic SRP19 and SRP54 proteins. Lineage: Bacteria; Bacillati; Chloroflexota. The record is from RNAcentral.
CCGUGCUAGGCGGGGAGCCAGCGGUGCCCUGUACCCGCAAUCCGCUCCAGCGGGGCUGAAUCCCCUCCCGAGGUCCGGCGUCGCGGAUGUAAGCGAGCGCGUCGCGGCGAUGACGAUCGGGUCCUGUGCAGCAACGUCCCGCGAACCCCGUCAGGUCCGGAAGGAAGCAGCGGUAAGCGAUCUUCGUUGCGUGCCGCAGGCAAGCCUGAUCCGAGCCAAAGCGCGCGCGCGUCUCCGAGAUGACGCGAUCGACGGAGGGUGCACGG